This 497-nucleotide ribosomal RNA is filed under the name uncultured bacterium. RNAcentral describes it as "partial 16S ribosomal RNA". It matches the Rfam family "Bacterial small subunit ribosomal RNA", at positions 28 to 507 of the family's 1533-position model. The record is from RNAcentral.
GAUGAACGCUGGCGGCGUGCCUAAUACAUGCAAGUCGAGCGAACAGACGAGGAGCUUGCUCCCCUGACGUUAGCGGCGGACGGGUGAGUAACACGUGGAUAACCUACCUAUAAGACUGGGAUAACUUCGGGAAACCGGAGCUAAUACCGGAUAAUAUAUUGAACCGCAUGGUUCAAUAGUGAAAGACGGUUUUGCUGUCACUUAUAGAUGGAUCCGCGCCGCAUUAGCUAGUUGGUAAGGUAACGGCUUACCAAGGCAACGAUGCUUAGCCGACCUGAGAGGGUGAACGGCCACACUGUAACUGAGACACGGUCCAGACUCCUACGCGAGGGAGGAGUAUGGAAGCUUCCGAAAUGAACGAAAGCCGGACGGAGCAACGCCACGUAAGUGAUGAAGGUCUUCAAUUCGUGAAGCUCUGUUAUUAGGGAAGAACAAAUAUGUAAGUAACUAUGCACGUCUUGACGGUACCUAUUCAGAAAGCCACGGCUAACUACGUG